Molecule: ribosomal RNA, 253 nt
Filed under: uncultured bacterium
Lineage: Bacteria
Description: partial 16S ribosomal RNA
Rfam family: Bacterial small subunit ribosomal RNA
Source: RNAcentral
UACGUAGGGUGCGAGCGUUGUCCGGAUUUAUUGGGCGUAAAGAGCUCGUAGGCGGUUUGUCGCGUCGUUCGUGAAAUCUCCACGCUUAACGUGGAGCGUGCGGUCGAUACGGGCAGACUUGAGUUCGGUAGGGGAGACUGGAAUUCCUGGUGUAGCGGUGAAAUGCGCAGAUAUCAGGAGGAACACCGGUGGCGAAGGCGGGUCUCUGGGCCGAUACUGACGCUGAGGAGCGAAAGCGUGGGGAGCGAACAGG